This 1154-nucleotide long non-coding RNA is filed under the name Malus domestica (apple). Its description in RNAcentral is "long non-coding RNA (MDOM_LNC005210)". Lineage: Eukaryota; Viridiplantae; Streptophyta; Magnoliopsida; Rosales; Rosaceae. The record is from RNAcentral.
UCGUGAAGGAAAAAAAACACAAAAUAUCAUAACAACAUCAAAAGUUACAGACUUGCAGAAUCCCAAAUUACACUUUCCCAAAUUCAUCAAGACAAUUUCUUAACUGAUGUAACUUUUCUAGUUUUCGUAAAAAUGUUAACUUGGGUAAAAUCAUAUUCCACAAAAUUAGAAAUUGGGGAGUGAAAUUAAACACCAAAACUUCACAAGGGAGACUUACCAUUAUAUAUGCAGGCAUUGAAAUCAAAACCUUCUUCCACCAUGGAAGUCAAAUGUGAUGUUUGAACUGAAAAGCUAUAAGUUGGCAUCCCCAUCUUCAAUACAUCCCCUGGGAACAGUACGAAGUUGUAUCUGCACCAAAAUCAGCAAACACACAUCAUCAAAUCACAUUCUAUAGAUACAUACAUAUAAAUUUAUAUGUGUAUGUAUAGGCAUAGUGAGAAUGUAUGGAAGGUUAAGGGCUAAGCUUGGAGGCUCUGAGAGUGAAAGAGCAGGCGGCAAACUGGAGAAGGUAGAACCGCUCGGCGGUGUAGUUAGCCUUGCAAUACGACUUGUCGGCGGUGUCGAAGCGAGAUGGGCACGAAGUCGGAAGUGGACACGUGGUUCUUGAACUCCUCCAGGAACUCGGGAAAAUUGGACUUCGUCACUUCCUUCACGGCCCAUUUCUUUGAGACUUUGGUGGUGGUGGUGCUGAGAAAAUUGCGCCGUAUUAGUGGAGGCAGAGAUGCACUCCGUGUCCUGAACUUGUACGGACACUUGCCUGAACCUCCGCCUGAACUCGCUCACCUUCAUAAUCUUCGUCAUGGUCGUCGCCGAAGCCGACGAACUUCACUCUCAGUCGAUCACAGCUGUCCUUCACUAUCAGGACGUCGUACCAGGCGUCGCCCAAGCCAGACCUGAACUCGACCGCCAUCCCAACUCCCACCCACUCCCCCUCUCUCUGUACUUCUGCAAUCCCUAGUCAUAGGGCCUUAGCCAUUUCGGCUGGUAUAUGUGACGAAUCUGGAGACGGAGCAUGGAGCUGCAAGCUGUCAAGGAGUUCGCCUAACCCUAAAAUCGCUCUCUCCCUCUCUCUCUCUCUCUCUCUUUCUUUUCCCAAAUCGAGCAUCACCACUUAAUCCCCUCUAUUUCUCUCCCUCGAAUCGUACACGCCCUGU